AUGGUCAGUGCAGCUUCAGCCCGUUUGCUGACAGCUCUGCAGCCUGCUCCUGGACCAGCAGCUCCUGUGCUGGCUGGUGUGUUAAGGUCGCUGGAAAGCUGUGCUGUGUUGUACUUGGUGUACACGAACAUCCUUCUGGUGAUUGAUGGCUACACCCUACGGAAAUGUUUUAAUUCUGUCCUUGAAGCGUGCCUUCAGGAACACUGUCAGUACGUAUUCUUCGUCGAGCAGCACACAGCACUUGGGAAUCCGCAGCAGCCCGAGGUCCCUGGCUUCUGCCCAUGGGCAUUCAAUAACCUCUCCUCUGGGCUUUGAAUUCAGUCCCCAAGCCUUCAACCAAGGGACUUAUCUACCUCUGAUUUACUAGAAGGGGCUACUUUAAAAGGCAUACUUAGGACACGAAGAUUCCCACAAAAAAGCAGCAUCAGCUGGUAAAUCACAAACCCAACUAUCAGAUCCCAAGAAAUAAUGUGUGUCCUCCUCAGUCAGGUUGCUCACAAUUACUCCAAGCCACAGCCACGUCCAGCAUCUUGCCUUCACUUUGAUGUUGUUUGCUGCAGUAAUCUGUCCAGAAUCCAGUCAAUCUGAACAGAUGUAUAGGAAAAUAGCAAAGGCUACUGUCCUUUAUCGUUUAUGUUUCACUUUGCACAAUUAUCAAGGAAAAUACUUGAAUACUAAAAAACUUUUGCAGAACUUGGCUUCAGGAGGGCAGAAUUCCACCCUUUUAUGUAUUGUUCCCGUUUGCAAUAACUCCUCUUUAAACCAUAUUCCUGAGCUAUCUGAAGCCUCUGGCCAGAACCUGCAGUUGAGAGGCACAGUUAAAAUGCUUCGAGCUGGCUGAUAUUACAAGACUAGACCCUACUUUAAAGACGUUUAAUGUUACCACACGGCAGCCAAGCCCUCCAACAUGGCAGGUUUGCAAGCCAGCAAGUCACCUGCAGCUUCUCAUGUCAUCUGCUCCAGUGACACCAGCGAGAUAAACUGGAAAAUAGGAACAAAGCACUGGAAAUAUUCCAAAGCUGCCGUAUCCCAGAGGUUAUUUAACUUGGACUUCACACUCCUAAGAUUUCCAUGAAAUAGACUGAGAACUGAAACAGUAGCCGGUAUUAAGCACAGAAUCAGUAAUUUAACUGUUACUCCACAUUUUUUUUACAAUCCUCACUGGAUGUAAACCAGCUUUUUGUCCUGGUGAUACAACUUUGCUACCUGAAAAAUGGCAUUCUCAAGGGGGGGGAAAUCGGUAUAGAAAAUCCUGUGGUGAAUGAAAAAACAACUUGGCAGAAAAAGAGAUAAUUUUGAAAAGCUUAUUAAUGGGUAGGGUUUUUUGUUUGUUUGUUUUUCUGUACUUCAUAACAAUUUCUGCACUGGAUACCAUUACCUUUGGAUUCUGUGGGUUUUCCAGGAAAAUGAUUCACUGAAAGUUGUGUGUGCUUUCAACAAGGAAAAUCAAGAGCCAAACUCCACUUGUCAUUUACCAGUAUUUGUUAUUUAUUUUUGAUGGUUUCAGAUUCGUGGUUUCUACUCCCUCUGAAAGUAAUUAGAACAGUUAUUUAUAAGUAAUAGGAAAAUAAAUUUGUAAAAUCCUUUAUCA
This 1591-nucleotide long non-coding RNA is filed under the name Anas platyrhynchos platyrhynchos (common mallard). RNAcentral describes it as "lncRNA (ENSAPLG00000028748.1)". The record is from RNAcentral. Lineage: Eukaryota; Metazoa; Chordata; Aves; Anseriformes; Anatidae.